UACGUAGGGUGCGAGCGUUAAUCGGAAUUACUGGGCGUAAAGCGUGCGCAGGCGGGUUUGUAAGUCAGAUGUGAAAUCCCCGGGCUUAACCUGGGAAUGGCAUUUGGGACUGCAAGGCUGGAGUGCGGCAGAGGAGACUGGAAUUCCUGGUGUAGCAGUGAAAUGCGUAGAUAUCAGGAGGAACACCGAUGGCGAAGGCAGGUCUCUGGGCUGACACUGACGCUCAUGCACGAAAGCGUGGGGAGCAAACAGG
This 253-nucleotide ribosomal RNA is filed under the name uncultured bacterium. Its description in RNAcentral is "partial 16S ribosomal RNA". It matches the Rfam family "Bacterial small subunit ribosomal RNA", at positions 524 to 776 of the family's 1533-position model. The record is from RNAcentral.